Molecule: ribosomal RNA, 484 nt
Filed under: uncultured bacterium
Lineage: Bacteria
Description: bacterial SSU rRNA
Rfam family: Bacterial small subunit ribosomal RNA
Source: RNAcentral
GAUCAUGGCUCAGGAUGAACGCUGGCGGCGUGCCUAACACAUGCAAGUCGAACGAAGCACUUCGAUUUCCUCGGAAUGAAAAAGUGACUGAGUGGCGGACGGGUGAGUAACAUGUAGGGAAUCUACCCUUGAGAUGGGGACAACAGUUGGAAACGACUGCUAAAACCCAAUAUGAGUAUAUUUGAGAAGGUAUACUUGAAAUCUCCGGAGCUCAAGGAUGAGCCUGCACCUGAUUAGCUAGUUGGUGGUGUAAUGGACUACCAAGGCGACGAUCAGUAGCUGGUUUGAGAGGAUGAUCAGCCACAAUGGGACUGAGACACGGCCCAUACUCCUACGGGAGGCAGCAGUAGGGAAUUUUGCGCAAUGGGGGAAACCCUGACGCAGCAACGCCGCGUGAUUGAAGAAGCCCUUCGGGGUGUAAAGAUCUGUCAGUGGGGACGAAAGAAUGACGGUACCCACAGAGGAAGCACCGGCUAACUCCGUG